Molecule: ribosomal RNA, 254 nt
Filed under: uncultured bacterium
Lineage: Bacteria
Description: partial 16S ribosomal RNA
Rfam family: Bacterial small subunit ribosomal RNA
Source: RNAcentral
UACGUAGGGGGCAAGCGUUGUCCGGAAUCAUUGGGCGUAAAGCGCGCGUAGGCGGCCCGGUAAGUCCGCUGUAAAAGUCCAGGGCUCAACCCUGGAAAGCCGGUGGAUACUGUCGGGCUAGAGUCCGGAAGAGGCGAGUGGAAUUCCUGGUGUAGGCGGUGGAAUGCGCAGAUAUCAGGAGGAACACCGAUGGCGAAGGCAGCUCGCUGGGACGGUACUGACGCUGAGGCGCGAAAGCGUGGGGAGCGAACAGG